Molecule: non-coding RNA, 139 nt
Organism: Zea mays
Lineage: Eukaryota; Viridiplantae; Streptophyta; Magnoliopsida; Poales; Poaceae
Source: Rfam
CCUCUCGAAGACGACGAACUCGUCGAAUACAUCAUUACUGGGUUGGACCGUGAGUUUACUUUGCUUGUUUCUGCCCUUGUUGCAAGGGUGGAGCCAAUCUCUGUUGAAGAAUUAUAUUCUCAGAUGCUAAGCUAUGAAA